This 1754-nucleotide long non-coding RNA is filed under the name Salmo salar (Atlantic salmon). RNAcentral's name for it is "lncRNA (ENSSSAG00000099523.1, ENSSSAG00000112694.1)". Lineage: Eukaryota; Metazoa; Chordata; Actinopteri; Salmoniformes; Salmonidae. The record is from RNAcentral.
AGUCCAUAUGCAACUAUUAGUAAACAUGUAGUUUCAAGUAUAAAGAAAAAAACUAAAACUAUAUAACAUAAGGAAAACAAAACAUAUUGCUGCUUUUAGCCCGUAGAACAGAGAACAUUUCAACAUUGCAAGAUGUAAACAUGCACAGUAGUACAGAUUUGAACUGUUUCCCUUCCUCUCUGUACUCCUCACUCAGCUGCUUCCUGGAUUCAGGAGGAAAGGGUCUAAAACAAAUACACAAUAUUCAGAACAAACAAGUCACCAGCCCUCUCUUUGACAUUCAAAGCAUGGGACGACUGACUGCGAUAUGUCUUAGUCGUUUUGUUGUUGUUAUAUGAUAUGUUCUUUUCUGUUUGUUAAAACAGGACCUUGAAACAACACAACACAUCACCUCAUUUUAUUCCCAAAACCUGGGGAGAGGAAACAAAAUCUUGCACAAUUGCUCAUUAAAAUAAACAUUUUAUUAUUUCAUUUUAAUAAUGGUAGAAUUGUUAUUCAAAUUGACCAACGGACCAGAACCUACCUUCAGUCAGCUAAUUAGACUGACCUAUAGAAGUAGUUGACAAAUAUGUGAAAAUAAAUACAACUUAAAAGAAACAUUUGUUUGGUUGUGACGUAGCGCCACUACCAACCAAUACUUGUGAAGUAAUACGUUCAGGAUAGAAUCCCCAAAGUUCAUGUUGACACUUCCACUAGGCUGAUAAAUUAUCUAAAUUAAGAACAUUUAAUGAUUGAUCGUGAAGAAAUGUGUCUUGCAUAUCUUUCUUUGAAAGAAUUUGCCACUUUCUUAUAGUGGUAAUUGGAUAUAAAUAUUGAUAUAAUUGUUUAAAAGCUAUGCUUAAAACAUAGAUUUUUUUUUGUUUGUGUACAUCAAGUGUACAUUUGGAAGACCAUGGCUAUAUCCAAUCCCAGCCAAAAUUGUAGCACUCAAAUUUAGCAUGUGUCUUUUUAUUCAUUUAUUGAGCAUUUAUUGAUAAAAAAGAAAAGAAAAGGCAAUUGGCAUUGAGUUUGUCCUCCCUGGGUUUCUAUGAGCUAAUCUGAAUUCUAGCACUUUCAAUCUUUUUUAAAAAAGAGAGUUUUUUUUCUUUUAAAAUUUCAGCUUAUAUGUUCCUAUGUUUUUAAUUUUGUAUUUGAUCCUGUGUAUGUAUGUGCCAUUAGUUUGAUGUGUAGAUUUGAUCAAUCUUUGUGUAUUUUUCUCCUCCAAAAGAAACUAUUUUUUUUUAUAGACUUUUCACUAAUACCUUCUUUCAUGUGCCCCCACUCCCCUCUCAGGCCUGUUGGGUAACCAGCAUUGGCUUCUCUAUUGGAAUUUUAUAUGAUUAACACAACAACAACAACAACAACAUAUUCUACAACCAAGUAUUUGUAACAGAGAUUUGUAAUCCAAUUGCCUUUCAGAGAGCAUGGUGAGCAUGACAUCAUAUCCACAAUCUACCAGAUCGACCUCUUCAAGGUCAAAAAGACUAGGUCCUGUUUUUUGACAGAUGUGACAUAGUUCCAUUUAACAGAACAUUAUCUGGGGAACCCAGUUUUUAAAGCACUUUUUAUUUUGCAACCAUAACAACUGUCUGACGCAUGAUAAAUAAAGCUGAAAUAAAUUUAAAAAAUGUCGGAAAAGGCUUGUAGUACUGCCUAGUGCUACUGAAUACAUGUUGCCUCUAGACAGGAAAAGGCUUGUACCUCAGCCUAGUAGCUACUGAAUACAUGUUGCCUCUAGACAGGAAAAGGCUUGUACCUCAGCCUAGUAGCUACUG